CGACGGGCUGUCGCACGUAGUCGCACGCAGCAACUGUUCCGAGAGUGUACCUCGCAGGGCCGAUUUGAAUGCUAACCGCCGUCCUCUGUAAAGUUCAAACUAGCUUCCAUUUUUCUCUCCAGCGUCCAAGUAUAUUUUAUUUCAAGAAAGCGUGAUAUAGUACAACUGCAAUGAGAAGAGAUAUAUUAUCCAGUUCCAGCAACUUGUGAAGGCUUUUACCAAAAGUGAAUUAGAAAAUUAGAGGAUGUGCAAUGUAGAGCUCAGUAAGCAAAAUGUAUUAGCAGUAUGUCAGCAGACACAAAAUGUUGAGGUAGAUUAUCGUUAAAUGACAUAAUCUGACAGGAAACUGACAGAAGAAAUUGGACGAUGGGAUCUGUCCUUUGGCUUUUUUCGUAAUUAUUUAUAAAUAAUAUAUUUUAUUUCCUAGUUAAUAUGCCAUCAUAUUUUGUUCUUUUAAAAAUUGAUUAAUUUAGUAUUAAUUACUUAUUCCGAGUAUUAAAAGCAUUAACAAACAAUUGAAGAUACGCGAAUCAAUUUUUUUGUUUCUUUUUACAUUGGUAGAAAUGGACAUAAUUACUUUAAAAAUUUUUAAUCAUUUUUAAUUAAACAAGUUUUCACUUGUGU
This is a long non-coding RNA of Solenopsis invicta (red fire ant), 624 nucleotides long. RefSeq lists it as uncharacterized. The record is from RefSeq and is a predicted model, not a curated record. Lineage: Eukaryota; Metazoa; Arthropoda; Insecta; Hymenoptera; Formicidae. The transcript has 3 exons.